UAAUUAAUUUUUCUUUUCAAGCGAAAGCUCUCACUUAAGCCUUUUCCUGUCCCCAGCAGCAACGUCCUUGCUUAGGUCUGAAGCAGAGGCAGCUCAGACCUAUCCAUGGCCUCUCCAUGGCCGACCUGAGUCUGCUCUGUGUUUCCAGGCCCUACCCGGAAGACCUUGUGGGCUCCAGAUGAGGCAACUGAGGCCCAGACAGCAGGAAGUCGUCCUGCGCAGGAUACACAACAGGGCCGGCGGCGGCGGCUGCCCCGAGGGACGGGGCCCUAGGCGGUGGCGAUGGG
Long non-coding RNA from Lynx canadensis (Canada lynx), 287 nucleotides. RefSeq lists it as uncharacterized. The transcript is spliced from 3 exons. The record is from RefSeq and is a predicted model, not a curated record. NCBI's taxonomy places the organism in Eukaryota, Metazoa, Chordata, Mammalia, Carnivora, Felidae.